Molecule: ribosomal RNA, 439 nt
Filed under: uncultured bacterium
Lineage: Bacteria
Description: bacterial SSU rRNA
Rfam family: Bacterial small subunit ribosomal RNA
Source: RNAcentral
UAGGGAAUUUUCGUCAAUGGGGGAGACCCUGAACGAGCAAUGCCGCGUGUGUGAAGAAGGUCUUCGGAUCGUAAAGCACUGUUGUAAGUGAAGAAUGCCAUAUAGAGGAAAUGCUAUGUGGGUGACGGUAGCUUACCAGAAAGCCACGGCUAACUACGUGCCAGCAGCCGCGGUAAUACGUAGGUGGCAAGCGUUAUCCGGAAUCAUUGGGCGUAAAGGGUGCGUAGGUGGCACGAUAAGUCCGAAGUAAAAGGCAACAGCUCAACUGUUGUAUGCUUUGGAAACUGUCGAGCUAGAGUGCAGAAGAGGGCGAUGGAAUUCCAUGUGUAGCGGUAAAAUGCGUAGAUAUAUGGAAGAACACCAGUGGCGAAGGCGGCCACCUGGCCUGUUACUGACGCUGAGGCACGAAAGCGUGGGGGAUCAAACAGGAUUAGAUACC